ACUCCUACGGGAGGCAGCAGUGGGGAAUAUUGCACAAUGGGCGGAAGCCUGAUGCAGCAACGCCGCGUGCGGGAUGACGGCCUCGGGUUGUAAAUCCGCUUUCGCCUGUGACGAAGCGUGAGUGACGGUAAUGGGUAAAGAAGCACCGGCUAACUACGUGCCAGCAGCCGCGGUGAUACGUAGGGUGCGAGCGUUGUCCGGAUUUAUUGGGCGUAAAGGGCUCGUAGGUGGUUGAUCGCGUCGGAAGUGUAAUCUUGGGGCCUUAACCCUGAGCGUGCUUUCGAUACGGGUUGACUUGAGGAAGGUAGGGGAGAAUGGAAUUCCUGGUGGAGCGGUGGAAUGCGCAGAUAUCAGGAGGAACACCAGUGGCGAAGGCGGUUCUCUGGGCCUUUCCU
This 395-nucleotide ribosomal RNA is filed under the name uncultured bacterium. RNAcentral's name for it is "bacterial SSU rRNA". It matches the Rfam family "Bacterial small subunit ribosomal RNA", at positions 335 to 741 of the family's 1533-position model. The record is from RNAcentral.